Molecule: ribosomal RNA, 253 nt
Filed under: uncultured bacterium
Lineage: Bacteria
Description: partial 16S ribosomal RNA
Rfam family: Bacterial small subunit ribosomal RNA
Source: RNAcentral
UACGUAGGUGGCAAGCGUUGUUCGGAAUUACUGGGCGUAAAGGGCUCGUAGGCGGCCAACUAAGUCGGACGUGAAAUCCCCAGGCUCAACCUGGGAACUGCGUCCGAUACUGGAUGGCUUGAAUCCGGGAGAGGGAUGCAGAAUUCCAGGUGUAGCGGUGAAAUGCGUAGAUAUCUGGAGGAAUACCGGUGGCGAAGGCGGCAUCCUGGACCGGCAUUGACGCGGAGGAGCGAAAGCCAGGGGAGCAAACGGG